GACGAACGCUGGCGGCGUGCUUAACACAUGCAAGUCGAACGGUGAAGGGGAGCUUGCUCCCUGGAUCAGUGGCGAACGGGUGAGUAACACGUGGGCAACCUGCCCCUGACUUCGGGAUAACGCUUCGAAAGAGGUGCUAAUACCGGAUAUGAACCCUGAGGGCAUCCUCGGGGUUGGAAAGUUUUUCGGUCAGGGAUGGCCCGCGGCCUAUCAGCUUGUUGGUGAGGUAGUGGCUCACCAAGGCGACGACGGGUAGCCGGCCUCGAGAGGGCGACCGGCCACACUGGGACUGAGACACGGCCCAGACUCCUACGGGAGGCAGCAGUGGGGAAUAUUGCGCAAUGGGCGAAAGCCUGACGCAGCAACGCCGCGUGAGGGAUGAAGGCCUUCGGGUUGUAAACCUCUUUCAGCAGGGAAGAAGCGAAAGUGACGGUACCUGCAGAAGAAGCACCGGCUAACUACGUGCCAGCCGCCGCCGUAA
This 481-nucleotide ribosomal RNA is filed under the name uncultured bacterium. RNAcentral describes it as "partial 16S ribosomal RNA". It matches the Rfam family "Bacterial small subunit ribosomal RNA", at positions 28 to 523 of the family's 1533-position model. The record is from RNAcentral.